This 228-nucleotide long non-coding RNA is filed under the name Capsicum annuum. RNAcentral's name for it is "long non-coding RNA (CANN_LNC000275)". The record is from RNAcentral. Lineage: Eukaryota; Viridiplantae; Streptophyta; Magnoliopsida; Solanales; Solanaceae.
AGAAAUCAAAAAGAAAAUUCAUGGCAAUUUAACUACAUAAAAAUUAUCCACUUGGGGUAUGUGAAGAACCAAUUGUUAGACUAAGCAUUUUCAGGUGCAUGAAGAUUAUCAAACAAUAUAUGAUGUCGAGAGCAUUUAAACAUUAUACCGAAUUAGCCUUAAACACUUCAAACGAUCAGACUAUACUCCUAACUAAAUAGAUUGGAGAAGUAAGACACUAGAUAUGAG